This 403-nucleotide long non-coding RNA is filed under the name Capsicum annuum. RNAcentral describes it as "long non-coding RNA (CANN_LNC013236)". Lineage: Eukaryota; Viridiplantae; Streptophyta; Magnoliopsida; Solanales; Solanaceae. The record is from RNAcentral.
GCAAACACUUACAGCUGCCACUUCCUUCAUAUGGAAUACUUUCCAACAGAAUUCUCCUGCUGACCGUAAAAAUGUGCAAAAAGUUAGCAUGUUUGUCGAUGACAUGGAUGGAGUAGCUUACGCUAUCAACAAUGAGAUUCAUGUUAGCGCUAGGUACGAAUAAAUUAAUUCAAUAAUAAAUAAACAGUUAAUGCAUGCAUAUAUGUAUAUUAAGUGACGAUAUCGAUUAUAUUUAAAUUUUAGAUUUGCCUUUCAUUUUACAGGUAUAUACAAGGUUACUCUGGUGAUGUCAGGAGAGAGAUCACCGGGGUAUUAUACCACGAGAGCACCCAUGUUUGGCAGUGGAAUGGGAAUGGUGGGGCUCCUGGAGGAUUAAUUGAAGGAAUUGCGGAUUAUGUGAGGC